This 542-nucleotide ribosomal RNA is filed under the name uncultured bacterium. RNAcentral describes it as "bacterial SSU rRNA". It matches the Rfam family "Bacterial small subunit ribosomal RNA", at positions 201 to 759 of the family's 1533-position model. The record is from RNAcentral.
GGAAAGCUUUAGUGCUUUGAGAGGGGCCUACGGCCGAUUAGCUAGUUGGUGAGGUAAAGGCUCACCAAGGCGAUGAUCGGUAGCUGGUCUGAGAGGACGAUCAGCCACACGGGAACUGAGACACGGUCCCGACUCCUACGGGGGGCAGCAGUGAGGAAUAUUCGGCAAUGGGGGCAACCCUGACCGAGCAACGCCGCGUGGAGGAUGACGGUUUUCGGAUUGUAAACUCCUUUUCUCAGGGAAGAGCGAGGACGGUACCUGGGGAAUAAGUCACGGCUAACUACGUGCCAGCAGCCGCGGUAAUACGUAGGUGGCAAGCGUUAUCCGGAAUUACUGGGCGUAAAGCGCACGCAGGUGGCUGCUUAAGUCUGACGUGAAAGCUCCUGGCUUAACUGGGGAGAGGUCGUUGGAGACUGGGCGGCGUUGAGGCGAGGAGGAGGGGUGUAGAAUUCCCGGUGUAGUGGUGGAAUGCGUAGAGAUCGGGAGGAAUACCAGUGGCGAAAGCGGCACCCUGGCCUUGGCCUGACGCUCAGGUGCGAAAG